CUUGACAAACUUAUAAGAGGUCCAGCCUGCCCAGUGACUCUGUUCAACGGCCGCGGUAUCCUAACCGUGCGAAGGUAGCGUAAUCACUUGUUCUUUAAAUGAGGACUAGUAUGAAUGGCACCACGAAGGUUAUACUGUCUCCUUUUUCUAAUCAGUGAAACUAAUCUUCCCGUGAAGAAACGGGAAUAAAAAUAUAAGACGAGAAGACCCUAUGGAGCUUUAAACAAAUAUACACCUGCCUAUUUACCAAAAAUUUCAGAAGACAAGUAAUUACCCGGGCAUUUUGAUAUAGCGUUUUAGGUUGGGGUGACCGCGGAGCAAAAAAUAACCUCCGCAGCGAACGGGAGUAUUCCCUAAACCAAGGGCCACAACCCCAAGUAUUGAUAAAUCAACACCAAUUGACCCAAUAAAUUUGAUCAAUGAAC
Molecule: ribosomal RNA, 425 nt
Filed under: Leptodactylus mystaceus group sp. ABGD cluster 49
Lineage: Eukaryota; Metazoa; Chordata; Amphibia; Anura; Leptodactylidae
Description: partial large subunit ribosomal RNA
Rfam family: Bacterial large subunit ribosomal RNA
Source: RNAcentral